This 492-nucleotide ribosomal RNA is filed under the name uncultured bacterium. RNAcentral describes it as "partial 16S ribosomal RNA". It matches the Rfam family "Bacterial small subunit ribosomal RNA", at positions 29 to 507 of the family's 1533-position model. The record is from RNAcentral.
AUUGAACGCUGGCGGCAUGCUUUACACAUGCCAGUCGAACGGUAACAGGCCUUCGGGUGCUGACGAGUGGCGAACGGGUGAGUAAUGCAUCGGAACGUGCCCAGAGGUGGGGGAUAACGCAGCGAAAGCUGUGCUAAUACCGCAUGUGAUCUGAGGAUGAAAGCGGGGGACCAAGCAGCAAUGUUUGGCCUCGCGCCUCUGGAGCGGCCGAUGUCAGAUUAGGUAGUUGGUGGGGUAAAGGCCUACCAAGCCGACGAUCUGUAGCUGGUCUGAGAGGACGACCAGCCACACUGGGACUGAGACACGGCCCAGACUCCUACGGGAGGCAGCAGUGGGGAAUGUUGGACAAUGGGCGCAAGCCUGAUCCAGCAAUGCCGCGUGCGGGAAGAAGGCCUUCGGGUUGUAAACCGCUUUUGUACGGAACGAAAAGGCUCUGGCUAAUACCUGGGGCUGAUGACGGUACCGUAAGAAUAAGCACCGGCUAACUACGUG